AUGUCUUUUGAGUACCU
RNAcentral lists this ribosomal RNA (17 nucleotides) under Epicoccum nigrum. Its description in RNAcentral is "partial 18S ribosomal RNA". The record is from RNAcentral. Lineage: Eukaryota; Fungi; Ascomycota; Dothideomycetes; Pleosporales; Didymellaceae.